This 24-nucleotide non-coding RNA is filed under the name Arabidopsis thaliana (thale cress). The record is from RNAcentral. Lineage: Eukaryota; Viridiplantae; Streptophyta; Magnoliopsida; Brassicales; Brassicaceae.
AGCUUCAAAACUUGGUUGGCCCAG